ACUUGGUAUCGUCAAAUGUACAUCCUUGAGAAAAGAAGAACCUGAUAAGGCUUUCUGGACUAAGCUGCUACUAUGUUUCUUUCCUACUACAUCAAUGGCAUUUGAAAUUCUUAGAAGAGGGCGAUCAAAAGGUAAACCAAGUCUCAAAUGAAGGGAUCUUCUUGUUUCAACUUGCUUCAGUUCUGUUUCACCAUAACUAAGUUCAUAUAAGACUGUAAUCGGAUGUAAAAUUCCUGGAGGAAGGAAGUGAUAUGGAUGCAACUCUGGAUGCCCUUUUAAAAGGUCGGGAAUAUUAACUUUCCUCAUGGAGUGUAACUGGUCAACUAGUGCAGGGAUGACCAACUUUGAAAUGCCAUAAGACAGUGACAGAUCUUUCGACGCAUAACAAAGCACUUCUAGUUUAUGACCUAUGACCAGAAGUUGAGUUUCUUGGGUGGCUGGAUAAUAUUCAGCAAUAG
This 458-nucleotide unclassified non-coding RNA is filed under the name Hevea brasiliensis (rubber tree). Lineage: Eukaryota; Viridiplantae; Streptophyta; Magnoliopsida; Malpighiales; Euphorbiaceae. The record is from RNAcentral.